Chiloscyllium plagiosum (whitespotted bambooshark) is the source of this 401-nucleotide non-coding RNA. The record is from RefSeq and is a predicted model, not a curated record. Lineage: Eukaryota; Metazoa; Chordata; Chondrichthyes; Orectolobiformes; Hemiscylliidae.
CAGGCCUUAAUGUUUUAGAGGUCCCAGGAGUGGAGUGUGUUUCCGGGGGGCGGUGGCCGGGGCUGGGGCUGGGGUAAUGGGGCCCUUAUGGCCGGGUCCCGGUGGGUGGUGCUGGCAGCAUCAUGACCUCCCCUCCCCUCCCCCAUGGAGGGGGAUGCGGCUUCCUGGUGGGAGUGUGUAAGGGGACCCGAUGGGAUUGAGGCGCAGGUGUGCGGAUGCAAGACCAUCUGAAAGGACCACAUCAGUGGUUGAUAAAUCAGAGCUGGGGAGGUGUGGACCUGACUGGAGCUGCAGCAGUGAAUAAUGGGAGAUGAGGAAGAUCGUUUUAAUGGUGGUCAGAAACCAGAAGACUUUAAAACUACAUUAAAGCAGAAUGAAGUGUUCUAUCAUCAGAAGCAGAG